Molecule: ribosomal RNA, 253 nt
Filed under: uncultured bacterium
Lineage: Bacteria
Description: partial 16S ribosomal RNA
Rfam family: Bacterial small subunit ribosomal RNA
Source: RNAcentral
UACGGGGGGUGCAAGCGUUGUUCGGAAUUACUGGGCGUAAAGGGCUCGUAGGCGGCCAACUAAGUCGGCUGUGAAAUCCCCAGGCUCAACUUGGGAACUGCACCCGAUACUGGAAGGCUUGAGACCGGGAGAGGUGAGUGGAAUUCCCAGUGUAGCGGUGAAAUGCGUAGAUAUUGGGAGGAACACCAGUGGCGAAGGCGGCUCACUGGACCGGAACUGACGCUGAGGCGCGAAAGCGUGGGGAGCAAACAGG